AGGUGGGACGAAAUCCAACCAUGAGGCCAAUAUUUUCUUUUUCGAGAAUGAUGAGGCCAAGAUUUAGAACAGAAAAAGAUAAACAUAAACAAUCAGGGGAAGGUAGGGCUUGCAGUUGGAAAUUGUGCCUGCGAGGGUGCUAGGAGGUCAUGGGAAGCACGCCAGCAAUGCUGUCAGUCGAAUGUCCAAGCAAGCAUUGAUGCCAUCUGUGUCUGCAUAUUGCGGGGGACAACUUGCACCUCAGGCCCUCAGCUGCGUCCCACAAGCCGUCUAACGUCCUAAUUUACGGUUACUUUCUUACUUAUCCUGACCUAUCAUGUUUUCUGAUGGCGUCCCAAUUGGUACUACUGCAUUGGCUCGCGAGAAAGGCAACUAACACAAAGCCUUCUAAGGUUGUGAACAUGAAAGUAAUCUUUGCUACUGCUGCACUUGCUGGCGGGCCAUGAACAAAUAUGACAAUUGCGCAGAUUCAGAGCUUGCCUACUAGGACAUGCUGAUACAACUAUAUUCUAAAGAGUAUGGUGCAAGCCAAGGUGGGUCAUUUUGAGCAAACAUGUUCAGUCUGCCUUGACAAAUGGCCAUCGCAUCGUUUGCGGCACUUCUUGAUGGGAUCAGAGUGGCGACAGCAAAAAGAUCAAUAGUGGAUCCGUUGUCGGAGGAUGGAAAUAUCAUGUUUGUGCUCAACGACUUGGAAGGGAAGCUUGGGUACUGAUGAGCUGAGUUGAGAUGCGGAAGCAGCCUAGGUACUCAUGAGCUGAGCUGAGCUGAGAUGCGGAAAGACAAUCUUAGAACUAGGGCCAAGAGGUGUAUAUAAAGGGAACCAACAGAUAGAUUUGUAGCAUUUUUGGCUUCCUCUUUUCAUGCCCAAAAACCAUUUCCAA
This is a long non-coding RNA of Lolium perenne, 881 nucleotides long. RefSeq lists it as uncharacterized. The record is from RefSeq and is a predicted model, not a curated record. Lineage: Eukaryota; Viridiplantae; Streptophyta; Magnoliopsida; Poales; Poaceae.